Molecule: ribosomal RNA, 387 nt
Filed under: uncultured Bacteroidota bacterium
Lineage: Bacteria; Pseudomonadati; Bacteroidota
Description: bacterial SSU rRNA
Rfam family: Bacterial small subunit ribosomal RNA
Source: RNAcentral
UGCGUAGGCGGAAAUUUAAGUCAGUGGUGAAAGCCUGCAGCUCAACUGUAGAAUUGCCAUUGAUACUGAAUUUCUUGAAUCUAAUUGAAGUGGGCGGAAUAUGACAUGUAGCGGUGAAAUGCUUAGAUAUGUCAUAGAACACCGAUAGCGAAGGCAGCUCACUAAGUUAGUAUUGACGCUCAUGCACGAAAGCGUGGGGAGCGAACAGGAUUAGAUACCCUGGUAGUCCACGCUGUAAACGAUGAUUACUCGCUAUUGGCGAUACACUGUCAGUGGCUAAGCGAAAGUGAUAAGUAAUCCACCUGGGGAGUACGAUCGCAAGGUUGAAACUCAAAGGAAUUGACGGGGGCCCGCACAAGCGGUGGAGCAUGUGGUUUAAUUCGAUGA